RNAcentral lists this long non-coding RNA (348 nucleotides) under Nicotiana benthamiana. RNAcentral describes it as "long non-coding RNA (NBEN_LNC008285)". The record is from RNAcentral. Lineage: Eukaryota; Viridiplantae; Streptophyta; Magnoliopsida; Solanales; Solanaceae.
CUAAUAUCACAAACACAAAUGCAAGAAUGGACCAAAACCUCCGAGGAGAGUCGAACGGAGAAAAUUGAAAAACCACGGAAAAUUAGAACCUUGACUAAAACUGGAAGAACAGGGGUUUGAACUCGAACCGGGAACUCGAUUAAAUACCGAAUAAGCAGCAGCAUCGCCGUAAAAUAGUGCACAUAUAGUGUUUGUGAAAAUGGGUAAAUGGAGAUUUUUUGUGAAGUCUGUUUUCAGUGAAGAAAAAGUUCUUUCUCUGGAAGGAAGUGCUCAUAGUGGUGUAUUUCAACGGAGAAGAUGAUGAUUGACGUAGAAAGCCAUGAAGGCGAGCUGAACAGCUAUGUGGGG